Molecule: non-coding RNA, 73 nt
Organism: Phrynosoma platyrhinos (Desert horned lizard)
Lineage: Eukaryota; Metazoa; Chordata; Lepidosauria; Squamata; Phrynosomatidae
Source: the annotation of a GenBank genome assembly
GCCUGUGAGGCUUAGUGGUUUGAGUGCUGGACUAAGACUCUGGAAGGCCAGGGUUCGAAUCCCUCCUCCUCCA